Molecule: ribosomal RNA, 479 nt
Filed under: uncultured bacterium
Lineage: Bacteria
Description: partial 16S ribosomal RNA
Rfam family: Bacterial small subunit ribosomal RNA
Source: RNAcentral
GAUGAACGCUAGCGGGAGGCCUAACACAUGCAAGCCGAGCGGUAUUUGUUCUUCGGAACAGAGAGAGCGGCGCACGGGUGCGGAACACGUGUGCAACCUGCCUUUAUCUGGGGGAUAGCCUUUCGAAAGGAAGAUUAAUACCCCAUAAUAUAUUGAGUGGCAUCAUUUGAUAUUGAAAACUCCGGUGGAUAGAGAUGGGCACGCGCAAGAUUAGAUAGUUGGUGAGGUAACGGCUCACCAAGUCAAUGAUCUUUAGGGGGCCUGAGAAGGUGAUCCCCCACACUGGUACUGAGACACGGACCAGACUCCUACGGGAGGCAGCAGUGAGGAAUAUUGGACAAUGGGUUAGCGCCUGAUCCAGCCAUCCCGCGUGAAGGACGACGGCCCUAUGGGUUGUAAACUUCUUUUGUAUAGGGAUAAACCUACUCUCGUGAGAGUAGCUGAAGGUACUAUACGAAUAAGCACCGGCUAACUCCGUG